Long non-coding RNA from Pezoporus flaviventris, 421 nucleotides. RefSeq lists it as uncharacterized. NCBI's taxonomy places the organism in Eukaryota, Metazoa, Chordata, Aves, Psittaciformes, Psittacidae. The transcript is spliced from 3 exons. The record is from RefSeq and is a predicted model, not a curated record.
AAGUGGGUGGUUGGAAGGAUAUGAAAGCAGGAGGCAGAGACCAGCCCUGUGUCUUGCAGCCUGGCUCUGCCCAGCCAUGCUGAACCAGAACCCUUCUCCAGAGCAGCACAGCCUCACAGCAGUGAGCACCGAGACUAUGAUUCCCGUGGCCCCGCACUCCUGCUGGAACUCAGCAGCCAGCCAGACUGUGGCUGCUGCUGAUCAGGGGAAGCACACUUGAGCUGAACACAGAAUCACAGUUCCCUGCCCAGUGCCCACCCAAGGGAGAAGUCACCUCUGUGACAAGCUCCAACACCAGUGCCCCCCAAAACAGAGACACAGCCAUCCGGAACAUCACUCCCUGCCAACUGCCUCAUCUGGAGCCAUCCGCAGCUCAGCUCUUCCCAGCCUGCUCUGGAGACGGCUCCCCCAGAGCAUCCAC